RNAcentral lists this ribosomal RNA (871 nucleotides) under Amanita flavoconia. RNAcentral describes it as "eukaryotic LSU rRNA". It matches the Rfam family "Eukaryotic large subunit ribosomal RNA", at positions 75 to 932 of the family's 3401-position model. Lineage: Eukaryota; Fungi; Basidiomycota; Agaricomycetes; Agaricales; Amanitaceae. The record is from RNAcentral.
UUCCCUUAGUAACUGCGAGUGAAGAGGGAAAAGCUCAAAUUUAAAAUCUGGCAGUGUUUCACUGUCCGAGUUGUAACCUAGAGAAGUGUAACCUGCGCUGGACCGUGUAUAAGUCUCCUGGAAUGGAGCGUCACAGAGGGUGAGAAUCCCGUCUUUGACACGGACUACCAGUGCAUUGUGGUUGUGCUCUCAACGAGUCGAGUUGUUUGGGAAUGCAGCUCUAAAUGGGUGGUAAAUUCCAUCUAAAGCUAAAUAUUGGCGAGAGACCGAUAGCGAACAAGUACCGUGAGGGAAAGAUGAAAAGAACUUUGGAAAGAGAGUUAAACAGUAUGUGAAAUUGUUGAAAGGGAAACGUUUGAAGUCAGUCGCGUUGGUUGGGGAUCAGCCUGACAUUUGUUGGGUGUACUUCCUGGUUGACGGGCCAACAUCAGUUUUGACUGCCAGAAAAAGGCCAGAGGAAUGUGGCACCUUUGGGUGUGUUAUAGCCCUUGGUCGUAUAUGGUGGUUGGGACUGAGGAAAGCAGCGUGCCGAAAGGCCGGGUUUCGACCACGUUCACGCUGAGGAUGUUGGCAUAAUGGCUUUAAGCGACCCGUCUUGAAACACGGACCAAGGAGUCUAACAUGCAUGCGAGUGUUUGGGUGGAAAACCCUUACGCGUAAUGAAAGUGAAAGUUGAGAUCCCUGUCGCGGGGAGCAUCGACGCCCGGACCAGAACUUUUGGGACGGAUCUGCGGUAGAGCACGUAUGUUGGGACCCGAAAGAUGGUGAACUAUGCCUGAAUAGGGUGAAGCCAGAGGAAACUCUGGUGGAGGCUCGUAGCGAUUCUGACGUGCAAAUCGAUCGUCAAAUUUGGGUAUAGGGGCGAAAGACU